GGUGACCGUGUACUGCUGUUUACAGGGCCCUCGGAAUCAAGAGGCACAGUAGAAGAAACCUAAUUUAUGGGGAUUUUUUUCCGUAGUAAUAAUAAAAGGUGGAAUUUGUGUAAUUAGAUUGUGGUAAUUUUAAGGAUUUCCAGCUUUGACUAUCAGAGCCAUUUAUUCUGUUUAGCAGGCCCGAUUCAGCACUUAAUUGUCAUGUUUAUACUGGGAUAUUAAUAGGUCAGAUUGGUGGGAUUCUGAGUCGGAAACAAAAGCAUUGACCUUCGUCCAUCAGAAAAGGAGGAGAGGGGAGUUCCCAUCGUGGCUCAUGGUUGACAAAUCCGACUAGGAACAUGAGGUUGCAGGUUCGAUCCUUGGCCUUGCUCCCUGGGUUAAGGCCGGCGUUGCCAUGAGCUAUGGUGUAGGUCGCAGACGCAGCUCGGACCCUGCAUUGCUGUGGCCGUGGUGCAGGCCGGCGGCUACAGCUCUGAUUUGACCCCUAGCCUGGGAACCUCCAUAUGUCUCGGGUUCGGCCCAAGAAAAGACCAAAAAAAAAGGAAAAGAAAAGGAGAGAGUCACGUAUAUUCGGGUUUACACGGUGUUGACACAACGGGGUCCUGAAAUAGUUCGUUCGCACGGCUAGUUUCCUACAUGCCUGCUCUCCAAAGGCCAGUAGAAAAUAAAGCUAAUCCAAUGAAUUUGCUCGUUGCCAUACUAAUGCAAUACCAUGCGUUAGAUAAUUGGAAAAUGUAAAUUUUACAAAUACUUUCCAUGUCUCACCUAGAAGCCUAUUGGAAACAGCUCAUAAAUAUUAUAAUUAACUGCCUUGCGUUUGGUUCCCUUGUGUAUUUUAUCUUGUCACUGGUGCCAGGGAAAGUGAGUAGAAGGUGAGAUAGAAGGAGGUGGAGGGUGGACCGACAGAGGUCAGGUCUUGGGCGGAAACCUGCGUUCCAUUCUCUUCUCUGUCCUUUGCUCUUUGUCAAGACCAGAUAAAACGGGAGAAGGGCAGCAGCUGAGGAAACGGCCUUAUUUGAAUUCUCGGGUGAACCUUACUCUUGACACGGUCGAUUUACCUAAAAGUUCAGUGGCCCCCAGUCUUGCAUUUUCUCACUACAAGUUCUGUUUCGAAAACCCUCUGAAGACCAGAAGUCUUGAUAAACCCUGCAGGAAACCCCAGAAUUGAUUGUUUAAAUGUUGCCUCUUUCUGGACCUCUGUGAGCGCUGCAGGCCGGGAAGCCGCCGUGCGCUGGGGACCCCGCUGCAGCAGCGUGUGCAGCCGUGAAAUACGGAGGGUGCGUCACCUCGCAGCAUCUCCGCUGGAGUUAGGUACUCUCAGGACCCGGCCAUUCUGGUAGUGGGAUGCUGUGUGUUCUGCAAACUCGGGCAUCUUUUUUUUCUUUUUUCUUUUUUCUGAUGUAGGCUUCCUAAAAACAGCGAACGAGAUUGAUGAAAAUUUUUAAAAACUUACCAGCCAGCAUGUCUGAAG
This 1471-nucleotide long non-coding RNA is filed under the name Sus scrofa (pig). RNAcentral's name for it is "lncRNA (ENSSSCG00005026023.1)". The record is from RNAcentral. Lineage: Eukaryota; Metazoa; Chordata; Mammalia; Artiodactyla; Suidae.